RNAcentral lists this unclassified non-coding RNA (364 nucleotides) under uncultured bacterium. RNAcentral describes it as "contains 16S-23S intergenic spacer region". The record is from RNAcentral.
UCCCGGUUGGCCCGGGCAGUCUCGUCUGACACGUAUAACAGACGACAAGGGUUGCGCUCGUUGCGGGACUUAACCCAACAUCUCACGACACGAGCUGACGACGGCCAUGCAGCACCUGUCACCAGGUUCCAAAAGGCACUCCACUGUUUCCAGCGGAUUCCUGGGAUGUCAAGCCUCGGUAAGGUUCUUCGCGUAGCUUCGAAUUAAACCACAUGAUCCUCUGCUUGUGCGGGUCCCCGUCAAUUCCUUUGAGUUUUAAGCUUGCGCUCGUACUCCCCAGGCGGGAUGCUUAACGCGUUAGCUUCUCAGCACAGAGGGUCGAUACUCCAUACUAAUAGCAUCCAUCGUUUACGGCGUGGACUAC